This 141-nucleotide unclassified non-coding RNA is filed under the name uncultured fungus. RNAcentral describes it as "sequence contains ITS1". The record is from RNAcentral. Lineage: Eukaryota; Fungi.
AUCUUUUUUUUAUCACAAUAAAAAAAUUUGAUUCAUGUAAGAGUGGGUUUUAAAUACAAGAAUUUCGCAUUAACCUUGGCUAAAAAAAGCCAGGUUAAGCUAAAAUCAAUAAUGAUCCUUCCGCAGGUUCACCUACGGAAA